AAAAAUAAUUGAGUUUCUUAGACCAGUGCUGGAUAAUGCUGGUCUUUCUCCAUUACUUUUGAAUACUCUCUGCAAUAUGUUAGAACCUGCUCUUACCCCCAGCUGUGUACCUGCACUCUUGGCAG
Long non-coding RNA from Nanorana parkeri, 125 nucleotides. RefSeq lists it as uncharacterized. The record is from RefSeq and is a predicted model, not a curated record. Lineage: Eukaryota; Metazoa; Chordata; Amphibia; Anura; Dicroglossidae. The transcript has 3 exons.